Molecule: non-coding RNA, 33 nt
Organism: Trichobilharzia regenti
Lineage: Eukaryota; Metazoa; Platyhelminthes; Trematoda; Strigeidida; Schistosomatidae
Source: Rfam
CUGACGAGUCCCAAAUAGGACGAAAUGCGCAUC